GUGUCGGCCCGUGUCCCCAGGGUUCGGUGGCCGGCUGGGCUCCAGCGGGGAGGAGCGCUCAGCCCAGCGCGACCUCCUCUGUCCCGGGGAGCGACCCUGCAGUGGCAGCACUGGCGAGAAACAGAGCUGCUCACAGCAGGGAUCGGCCUCGGCUCAUCCCCGUGGGAAGGCUGGAACAAAGCUCUGACAAGAUGCGUGGUGCGAAAAGUAAAUCAUUAGCAUUUACUGGACUGCUUCUCAACUGCCUAGAACUGAUCUUUUCAGCUAACACAGGUUUCUCUGUGUCUAUAUAUGAUGUGACAUCGCAAAGCAUUUCUCUCAGAUGGCCCAAGUUUUCAGGAGCCUCUUCUUACAGGGUCACAGCUACAGCUGUGAAUACUGUAGGCCAUUCAUUACUGGCUCAUUUCAGUGAUGUGACAAUUAAAGCAACUCUAACUUCAUUAAUUCCCAAUACUGUUUAUGCUAUACAAGCAGAAGCCAUUGACAAGAAUGGAAUUAUUCUUGCAGAAACACAGAUUAUGCAGUCAACAGCUCCAGACAUACCUGUUAUUGACCAAGCUUAUUCAAAACUUAGCAACAGUAUCACAGUGGAAUGGAGAGCGGUACCUGGGGCUACUAGUUAUAUGCUGACUGCACAAGAUGGAGAUUCCUUCAUUGAAACUGUAGUUAAAAAUUCUCCAGGCACAGUGAUGGGGCUGAAACCUGCCACCUUGUACAGAAUCACUAUCAGAUCUAUAAAUUCAGGAGGAAAAAGCCAGCCUUCACCUUUCAGAAAAGCAAAAACAGUCCUGGCUGCUCCAAUUCUGUCUGUCAGUUCUCCGAGCUGUGACUCCAUUGCACUGAGCUGGAAAGCUGUGUAUAUGGCAGCUGGAUUCUCUGUGUCACUCAUGAGGUCAGAUGGUUUGGGCGGAAUGCUGAGGGAGAACACCACCAAUACCUCCUUGAUAUUUACAAAUCUAGAUCCAGGAACUCUCUAUACUAUCAAGGCUUAUGCCUGGAAUGCCAAUGGGAUGCCUGGAGAUGAUUUCACAUAUAACCAAAGAACAAGUCCUAAUGCACCGGCGGAUGUUAAAGUAGCUUUUAAUAGUGGUGCUUUAAGAGUUUCUUGGAUGCCAACAGAAGGAGCUCUAACUUACAGUGUCACAGCCUCCAGUGGACUCUUGAAACUGAAGUGUAACACAUCCUCCUCCUCCUGCAUGGUGCCAUCCCUCCAGUGCAGCUCUGAAUAUGAUGUUUCUGUCACAGCAUACAAUGAUGCUGGAUCCAGUAAACCUACUGAUGCAGUAAGCUUAAAAACUAUUCCUUGUGCACCAGUAAACAUAUCAAUUAAAGAGGAUAAACCUGGUCACUUGCUGGUGUCAUGGUCUAGCGUCAGUUUUGGUCAUUAUUAUGUGGUUUUUGUGAAGAGUGAUGAUGGCUUGGAAGUGCACUGCAACACAUCAUAUACUCAAUGUUAUUUCCAGUCAGACUGUGGCUUCACUUAUUUCAUUAGUGUCUUUGCAUAUAACAAGGCAGGGCAGAGUCCUUUAGGUGAUGUAUUCAAUUACACUACUGCUCCUUGUUGCCCCAGCGACUUCAGGGCUGUGUUUGUGUCCAGCGACACCGUGCGGGUCACCUGGGCUCCUGUCCGAGGCGCCGACCUGUACGAGACCAGAGCUGCCGCCUGGAGCACGGUGGUGCUCUGCAAUGACACGGCCCCGGCCUGCACCCUGUCAGCUCUGCAGUGCAACACCCGCUACCACAUCACCGUUCAUUCCUUCAGCGAGGCCAGGGGCAGCAACACCUCAUGUGCGCCCAAGCACGUGGCAACAGCUCCCUGCAGUCCUGAAAUUAAAAAUGUCUCAAAGGAGGGUCUUUCUGUAAUCAGUGUACAGUGGCAAUCUAACAAUGAAGACGCUACAUAUGUUGUCACUGCCAGAGGAGAGGCUGGACUUUGGCAUUGCACAAGCACUGGAAGCUCCUGUACCUUAACUGAUCUUCCCUGUGGAUCUGCUUUCUCUGUCAGUGCUAUAGCAAGAUCACCAGCAGGACAGAGCUUACCAAGCUACAGUGUCCCUUUAGAGACAGCUCCUUGUUGCCCUAACGACCUGAUACUAACUCAAGUGACACAGUCUGUAACGAAUAUCAGCUGGUCUGCUGGGAAGGGUGCACAGACAUAUGUAACAACACUGGAGUCUCCAAAAGGACAGGCAAAGUGUCGCACUCUUCAGAACUACUGUCUCCUGGGAUGUAUCACAUGUGGCACCAACUACACAAUGUCUCUGAAAGCAAUUAGUGAAACGGGUCUGACAUCCAGUUGCACAUAUCAGGGAUAUUCUUCCAGUGCUUGCUGCCCCUCUGGGGUGAAGCUAUACAGACUGAGCAACAAUGGCAUCAGGGUGUUCUGGCGAGCCUCUGAUGAAACAAUAAACUACAGCACUGAUUUACAUGGUUCAAAAGGCAACUUCACCUGUACCCCCAGCACAGGUCGAAGUCACUGCGACAUCACCGAGAUACCCUGUGGGGAUGUCUACACAGUAGUGGUAGCUCCACUUACUGAUAAGGGUCUGAAGCUCACAUUCUGUCCUAAAAAAAUAUACUCAGUAACCUGUUCUGGAAGCUCUCUUGGAAUGGGUAAGAGCACAUAGUACAUUCAUUACAAAUUAAUGAAGUUUGUAAAAUAUGUUCACAUCGUUUAACUUCAAAUAAGAUGCAUAUAACAUAAAUUUGAUCAUCAAGGCUUCUGUUAGUAUUAUGCAGUGAUUUAUAGAGGCAAGAGCAAUGCAGAACACAUCUAAAUGAAAAUUCUGGGUCAGAUAAGGAGUUCUCUGUCAAAACUAGAUGAUCCAUGGCCUUCCCGAUGGUGACUUCUGCUUCUGGAUCUUCUGGGAGACCUCCGGGGACUGAUCGAUCUUGGUCUUGGAGACCUUUUAAAAAAGAAGAUAUUCAGUGUGAAACACAUUUUUCAAGUUAAGAGACCAUCUUUCCUUUUCAAUUUAUACUUUACGUACACAGUCUGUUUUUCAUCUUAAAUACCAAAUAUCAUGUGAUGAUUUUAAUCCAUUAGCAUCCAUAAACUGUUUUGCCUGUUGCCUUAAAACCCAACCCAGUGAAAAGACAAGAUGUUGCUGGUAAUAAGUUGUUCAAUAUUAAACUUUUAACAUU
RNA transcript from Corapipo altera (White-ruffed manakin), 3144 nucleotides. It is a transcript of the gene named fibronectin type III domain containing 7, with no coding region annotated. The transcript has 14 exons. Lineage: Eukaryota; Metazoa; Chordata; Aves; Passeriformes; Pipridae. The record is from RefSeq and is a predicted model, not a curated record.